AUAAAAAAUUUUUAUAGUUUAUAAUUUUAUUUUAAAUUUAUUUUACAUACAAAUUUUAGUAUGAAAUUUAAAUUAUUUAAAUAAUAAUUUUUAUUGUAGUAAUUAAUUUUAAAAAUUUAAGAAAUUAUGAUUUAGUAAUAUAUAAAUAAAUAACAAAUUUUGUGCCAGCAGUUGCGGUUAUACAAAAAUUUAAUUAAAAUUUUUCAGUGAAUAAUAAAUAAAUAAAUUUUUAAAUUAAAAAUUAAAUUAUUAAGUGAAAUUUUAAUUUAAUAAAAUUUUAUAUAUAAGAUUAUGAUUUAAUAAAUUUAUAAAAAAACUAGGAUUAGAUACCCUAUUAUUAAAAUUUAAUUAAAAGUACUAAAAUAGUAAAUUAUUUUAGUUCAUUUAGAGGAAUCUGUCUAAUAAUUGAUAAUCCACGAUUAAAUUUACUUAAUUUAUAAUUUUAUAUAUCGUUGUUAAAAAAAUAUUUUAAAAUAAAAAUAAUAUUUAAAAAUUAUUAUAAAAAAUUAAUUCAGAUCAAGAUGUAGAAUAUAAUUAAGAAUAUGAUGGAUUACAAUAAAUUUAUUUAAAUGAAUUUUUUUUUUUGUAAUAAUGAAAUGAAAGUGGAUUUAAAUGUAAAUUUAUUUAUUAUAAUAAAUUGAUUAAAAAUUAAAAUAUGUACAUAUUGCCCGUCGCUUUCAUUUAAAAGUUGGAAUAAGUCGUAACAAAGUAGAGGUACUGGAAAGUGUUUCUAGAAUGA
Molecule: non-coding RNA, 739 nt
Filed under: Protantigius superans
Lineage: Eukaryota; Metazoa; Arthropoda; Insecta; Lepidoptera; Lycaenidae
Source: RNAcentral